UUCGCAAUGCCCGAAAGGGUGACGAAGCGACGCCGCGUGGAUGAAGAAGGCCUUCGGGUUGUAAAAUCCUGUCAGGAGUUAAGAAAUAUAAGUUUGAUAAUACCAAAUUUAUUUGACAAAGGCUCCAGAGGAAGCCACGGCUAACUCUGUGCCAGCAGCCGCGGUAAUACAGAGGUGGCAAGCGUUGUUCGGAAUUAUUGGGCGUAAAGAGCACGUAGGUGGAUUUGUUAGUCAGAUGUGAAAGCCUUUCGUUCAACGGAAGAAUUGCAUCUGAAACUACAAACCUUGAGUAUAGGAGGGGAGAGUGGAACUUCUGGUGGAGCGGUGAAAUGCGUAGAUAUCAGAAGGAACGCCGGCGGCGAAAGCGACUCUCUGGCCUAUAACUGACACUGAGUGUGCGAAAGCUAGGGGAGCAAACGGGAUUAGAUACCCCGGUAGUCCUAGCCGUAAACGAUG
Molecule: ribosomal RNA, 456 nt
Filed under: uncultured Candidatus Scalindua sp.
Lineage: Bacteria; Pseudomonadati; Planctomycetota; Candidatus Brocadiia; Candidatus Brocadiales; Candidatus Scalinduaceae
Description: bacterial SSU rRNA
Rfam family: Bacterial small subunit ribosomal RNA
Source: RNAcentral